CCUACGGGGGGCAGCAGUGGGGAAUAUUGGACAAUGGGCGGAAGCCUGAUCCAGCCAUGCCGCGUGUGUGAAGAAGGCCUUUUGGUUGUAAAGCACUUUAAGCGAGGAGGAGGCUCCUGUAGAUAAUACCUACAGUGAGUGGACGUUACUCGCAGAAUAAGCACCGGCUAACUCUGUGCCAGCAGCCGCGGUAAUACAGAGGGUGCGAGCGUUAAUCGGAUUUACUGGGCGUAAAGCGUGCGUAGGCGGCUGAUUAAGUCGGAUGUGAAAUCCCU
Molecule: ribosomal RNA, 275 nt
Filed under: uncultured Acinetobacter sp.
Lineage: Bacteria; Pseudomonadati; Pseudomonadota; Gammaproteobacteria; Moraxellales; Moraxellaceae
Description: partial 16S ribosomal RNA
Rfam family: Bacterial small subunit ribosomal RNA
Source: RNAcentral